This 248-nucleotide ribosomal RNA is filed under the name Endomicrobium sp. RNAcentral describes it as "partial 16S ribosomal RNA". It matches the Rfam family "Bacterial small subunit ribosomal RNA", at positions 1 to 246 of the family's 1533-position model. The record is from RNAcentral. Lineage: Bacteria; Pseudomonadati; Elusimicrobiota; Endomicrobiia; Endomicrobiales; Endomicrobiaceae.
UUUAUGGAGAGUUUGAUCCUGGCUCAGAGUGAACGCUGGCGGCGUGCCUAACACAUGCAAGUCGCGCGGGAUUUUGCAGAGUAUCGCAGAGUCUAGCGGCAAACGGGUGAGUAACACGUAGGAAACCUCCCUCAAAAUGGGGAAUAUCUCCGAGAAAUCGGAGUCAAUACCGCAUAAGACCACAGUUUGGCAUCAAAUAGGGGUUAAAGCAGUAAUGCGUUUUGAGAUGGUCCUGCGGCCUAUCAGCU